This 271-nucleotide ribosomal RNA is filed under the name Symbiodinium sp. clade A. Its description in RNAcentral is "partial Bacterial large subunit ribosomal RNA". It matches the Rfam family "Bacterial large subunit ribosomal RNA", at positions 1341 to 1686 of the family's 2925-position model. Lineage: Eukaryota; Dinophyceae; Suessiales; Symbiodiniaceae. The record is from RNAcentral.
AAAUCUAAGGUUUCCUGGGGAAGGUAAAUCCGCCCAGGGUCAGCCGGGACCUAAGGUGAGGCCGAAAGGCGUAGCCGAUGGACGGCAGGUUAAUAUUCCUGCGCUACUGUGGAGAUCAAUCAUGAGUGCGGAUCGGUCAGCCCUGCGUAAGCACCAGCUUGCUGAGGCCCUUGAGGCCGCUGCAGGGGGCUCUGGUCCCGAGAAAAGCUCAUGUGGCAAAGCAGUACCCGUACCAAAACCGACACAGGUAGAUGAGGUGAAUAACCUAAGG